Non-coding RNA from Acanthosepion pharaonis, 101 nucleotides. The record is from the annotation of a GenBank genome assembly. Lineage: Eukaryota; Metazoa; Mollusca; Cephalopoda; Sepiida; Sepiidae.
CACACUGAAAACACUGGUUCUCAUUCAAUCAUUGAAGUUAAGCAGUGUCACACCUGGUCAGUUCUGAGAUGGGAGACCGCUUGGGAACACUGAGUAAUGUA